Molecule: long non-coding RNA, 1135 nt
Organism: Astyanax mexicanus (Mexican tetra)
Lineage: Eukaryota; Metazoa; Chordata; Actinopteri; Characiformes; Acestrorhamphidae
Exons: 2
Source: RefSeq, a predicted model, not a curated record
AACUGCAAUAUUUUUUUAGACCAAAUGCUUUUUUUGUAUUUAUUAGUGUCUUUCUUAGUUAAGCAUUUCACAAAAGAGACAAAAGCGUACCAUGGUUUAAAAUACAUCCUGAAUGUGCCAAUAAAGGUCCACAGUUACAAACCCAAUAAACAAAAUACAUUUACAUUUACAUCAUCUACAAUUACUUAAAUAAAGCGGUCAUAUUCAUGUUUGCAUAUUAAAAAUGUUAAUGUAACAAAGAUUGACAAGUUAUUACAUUUUUUUUUUUGCCCAAAUGCUACAUACAUUACACAGACCUAGCCCAAAAUCUUAUAUUUAGGUGUAUUAAACUUAUACAGUCUAUUAAUUUUACUUUGUGAUUUAUCAUUAAUUUUGUGUAUAAGGGCAUACAAAUAUUAUUAUAUUAUAUUAUAUUAUAUUAUAUUAUAUUAGAUUUUUAUUAUAUUGCUAAUAAUGUAUUACAUUUUUAAAAUCAUUUUAAAUAAUUGCAAGAAAAAAAAGCAUUAGCUAUGGUCAGUGUGAGUGAAUCACCACAUACAACAGUUCCUGUAAAUGUGCUGUGUCUCAGUUGUAACCUGCUGAAAAUACCCUCCCUCUCCUUAAAUCAUAAUUGUUACAUUUCAGUUUGAAGAUUGAGCAAAAAUGUACCCGUGGUUUUCAGACAAGCCAAAUUUGCCAGGAUAACCGCGAACCUGGCAACUCUGGGGAAAAAGCUAAAAUUGGCUCUCAGAUUGAAUGAACUGAAUGAAUAUACAGGUUAUGGUUUGCCCUCUUUCUUGGACGGAGGGACCAAUGCAGUGAGCACUGUGUCAACCAGCUGGAUAACUGACUCUGACCCAACAGAAACCUCCCCGCAGUCCUUCUAAAGUUAUCUGGCAAGGUGAAACUGGGGAAGGAAGGCACCAUCACUGUCUCAGCCCAUUGUUGGAAGACUGCAAAAGCACAAGCUACAGCCAGUGGGACGGCACGAGUACUACUGAUGGAACUCUUUAAUGUUGAUGUUUUUCUGAACUUUAAGCAUACCUUUAUCUGUUUUUGUAUUAUACAUAUAGUAGUAUAUGGUAGUAUAUAUUCUUGAAUUUAUAGUGAAGUGUAGUGUUAAAUAUAUAAUAAAAUAAAUUGUGAUGUGUGGUAA